AUCUAAAUAGUUUAUUUAAAAUAUUGAUUUGUGGUGUCAAUGAUAUGAUUGGUCAUUUUAGAUC
This 64-nucleotide transfer RNA is filed under the name Dacus axanus. RNAcentral describes it as "tRNA-His". The record is from RNAcentral. Lineage: Eukaryota; Metazoa; Arthropoda; Insecta; Diptera; Tephritidae.